This 253-nucleotide ribosomal RNA is filed under the name uncultured bacterium. RNAcentral describes it as "partial 16S ribosomal RNA". It matches the Rfam family "Bacterial small subunit ribosomal RNA", at positions 524 to 776 of the family's 1533-position model. The record is from RNAcentral.
AACGUAGGAGACAAACGUUAUCCGGAGUUACUGGGCGUAAAGGGCGUGCAGGUGGCUUGAUAAGUUCGGCGUGAAAUUUCCCGGCUUAACCGGGGGAUGUCGUCGGAGACUGUCGAGCUAGAGGGUGAUAGAGGCGUGUGGAAUUCCGGGUGUAGUGGUGAAAUGCGUAGAGAUCCGGAGGAACACCAGUGGCGAAGGCGGUUGCCUGGGGCUUUGCUGACGCUGAUGCGCGAAAGCGUGGGGAGCGAUCCGG